GUCUACUCUCUUUGCAUAAUUUCCUGAACCCUGCCCUGUUCCACCUGCUCACUAAUGUUAAGCUUAUUUAUGAAUAAUUUAUACGCAGCCCACUCUGCAAAUGUACCCUGGCAAGGAUACUUUUGGAGGAGCUAUGGGAACAAGACACUCAUCAUGUAUGUUCCCCUCGAGUCUGUAAGACCCGGAGUCCAAAUACUUCAUCAGCCCUUCCCGACCCUUCUCUGAAACACCAACAUGCAAAAGCACAAAUGCCUGGUCCUCGCACCAGCACCCCCACCCUGGGCUGCUGGAAAUUCAAGCACUCUUUUGGGGGGAUGGCAGAGAACGAGCUCCAAAAGCAAGUCAGCCUCAGACAAGCGGAUGUUUCUUUGCAGAGCCCUGAGGGCAGCUCGGUGUUUUGGGACACAGCACGUACCCGCUGCCUUGACCCCUCCACCCCACUUGGGGCAAGAGGAGUUUGCUUGCUCCGGCAGCACUCACAGGAGAAGGACUCAGCUUCAAGGAACACAAAAUCUGACCUGAAAUGUGACCUGACGAGCCUGCAAUGUCGCUGCAGAGUUCCAGCUGUGCUGUGCCUUGCAGGGACAUGCAGAGUCCCCGCACAGGCUGCGUCCUGAGCACGGGACCCCUUAUCUCCGCUGCUUCCCGCUGGAUAUCGGCGCCAGGGGGCUGCUGAUGGAGACUCCGAGUGAUGGACACUGCCUGCACUACUCGGUCACUCGGUGCUUUCCCUGUAGGUCCCACUGGCCUCGCUGACCCUGGGGAGCCCCACGGCUCUGGGAUGGGGUGACGGGUGUCCUGCCCACAGGGCAGAGCAGCCAUGGGGCCCAGAGUGGAUCAGUGCACACCAGUGCACACCAGUAUAGCCCGAGCCCUCGUCCCCCCAGCUCCCAGGUGGGAUUUUUGCACUCUUGUGCUCCCUCUGCUGGUCCUCAGCCCAGCACCGCUCCGGCACGGCGCUGGCACUGCUCCGGUGACACCAAACCCUUGGGCCACCCCUGUUCUCCAGGGCCAGCAAAACCCCAAAACAUGUCUCAGAGCCAGCCUGCAGUAAAGGGGAGGUCCCUGGUGCCAGCUGGGCAGUGGGGUGCUGGUGGGCAGAGCAUCACAGGGUCCAGACAGGAUCCACACAUCCUGGGAAACGGCGUAAAAACCUUCCCUCAAAAUAGAAGCUUUAACAAAUGCUAUUGGGAGUGAUACCAUGACACAUGGUUAUGAAGAAGAUUACACAAACCAGACUGGUACCGCACGGAUCACUUUAUUAAAGUCACACAUGGGCAUGGAGAGAACAUUGUGGAUUUGUCAACCCAUUCUUUACAAACACAGUGUAUGGCUUUUCGCACCAAUACCUCCACAGCUUGCACUGUUUGUGUUACCUGUGCAACAGCCACCACCAUCAGAGGUGACCUGCUUUGCUCUGGCAUUGCAGGGGUACAGCUGGCCACCAACAUGCCACCAACAGAGCAGGAGGACACCAGCACAGAGCAAAGGCUGCAGCUUGGCUCAGCAGCCACCGGCCACUAUCCUGCCAAAGGACACAGGGAAGCACUGAAUCAGACUAGGCCAUCGCAGUGCAAGGUCUGGUUUGCAGGCUGUGCUCCUGUUUGCAUGCAGUUCUCCUGCAUUUUUCAUCUUGGCAAAACUUGCCAGCUUUAUUAGAAAGCGGGUUGUUGCUUCAAGGCUGCUUUCUAGCAGUUAUUGCCAACUAGGGAGAGAGGUGCGGGAGCUACACUCUGCACGGCGUAAAUGACAACUGCCAAGACACCUUCUCUAAGGCCUCGUAAAAGCCUGGUUAUGCCUCAGGCUGCCUCAUCUCAGCCAGACAUCUUGGAGGGUGACCUGGCACAGCAGCCCUCCUGCUCAAAGCCUCGUGUCCCUGUCCCCAUCCCUGUCCAUGCAGCGAUGUCCAGCUGCCGCACUCACUGCCAUGGUUCAGUUGUGCUCCUGGUGUUCCUGGGACUUGGAAAGGAACCACUGCUUAGCAAAGGAAGUGAAAUAUCUGCCUCAAGCGAGCUGAAGCCCUUGCUGUGCCCCAGGAGCAGCCCAGCACAAUGAGGAGCUUCAAGGCAAGGGGAGAAGGAAGAGGAUGUAAAUUAAACAACAACAACAACAAAAUAAUGCUGUUAUCCUUUCCGCACAGCCUCCUCCUUCCCAGCACCCCAGGAAGCCACAGUGACCCACUGUGCAUUACCAACCGCAGAGGCUGUGCCGGGCACACGCUGCACGCUGGCCUGUGCCACCACCACCCCAAAAUCUGGGCAGCUCCACGCAGGGUCCAAGUCCAGCCUUCGCUGGGGGACACGGGCAGGUCAGCAGCUCCUGACGGCGCACACUGGUGUUCAGGGUCUGCAGCCUCAGCAUUUCAGAACUGCUUUCCAGAGCGAACAAUAAUCCUUUAAAACAAGUGUGGGGUUCCCUGAAAGUGGCUGAAUUCAAUGGCUGAGCCCUGCAACAAAGCCUCUUCCUGAGCGCGGUGGCUCCCUGCCCGUCGUCCUCCCCGGGGGACGGCAGAGGCGGCAGAGAGGAGGUGAGCUCUGGCUCGAGUUUGUAAACUGCGGUUGCUGGAGAAAAGAAAACCUGCCCAGAAGUUUCGGUAGGUGCCGAUGCCUUCCUCUGAGGUGGUUGGAACCCAGAGGUGACCAGCACCAUGAGCUGGUGCUUUUCACCAGCCCCAAGGCACCCAUCUUGCUACAGGGCACCCCAUCAAAGUCCCCUUGGGGGCAGCUGCCGGUGCUUCUGCCAACAACAGCUCCAAGUGCUGGGUGAUGCCCCACAGACAUUUCUUCUUGUGCAGAGCUCACUGUUGGUUUCUGCACAUCGUGGUGCUGUUCCCAUCUAAGCACCUUCCCACCCCCCAAACUCCUCCUAGGUGUUCUGCUCUGCCUCGGCAGCACUGGCAGGAGAUGUCAGUGCAGACACCCACCCAUGAUGCCCGAGCAGUGCUGCUAAAAGGAACCGGCUGCUUCUACAUUUUGUGAAUUUGUUUUUGCCUGUGAGGAUGUGAAACUCCACUCCAUAGUGACCACGGCAGGGCCAUAGCAGGCCGGGCAGGCACAGCCGGUGACCCACACCAUGGGGCAUUCUCCAAGUGAAGCCUCAUCAUCGACCCUUUCGAUUUGCACAACUCACUAGGGAAAAUGUUUUCCAGAGAGAAAACUUUCAGCUUUCAAAACUGAUUCCUCUGCAUUCUGUAGCAUUUUUGCAGAUGCAGAUAAAUGGUUAAAAACAUGUAGUAGUCUCUCGUGUUAACUUUCCUCAGUAUCAUCGACAGCUGCUUGCCUUUCAGCGCACGAAACCGCAAAGUUGAAGUCAGUGAAACUGUAGAAGAUCCAGGGCUCGGAUGGUGAAACCUUCCCAGCCAGAGGCUGAUAAAAUGAAACAGUAAAAAGUUUUUCCAUGGUUGAGAAUAGCCCUGUUAUCUCUCAGGGAGGCAGCAAACCUUCCUCUCUGAUGAGCAGGUAAGCCGGCAGUGCCAGGCCAGGCAGUCCUGGCACGCAUGUGCUCAAGGAGAAUGCUACAAUAUAUUGCCAUAUACCGAGAGACACAAAUAAACUCCAUUAAUGGUGUUAAUUCUUCAGUGAAA
This is a long non-coding RNA of Columba livia (rock pigeon), 3583 nucleotides long. RefSeq lists it as uncharacterized. The transcript is spliced from 2 exons. The record is from RefSeq and is a predicted model, not a curated record. Lineage: Eukaryota; Metazoa; Chordata; Aves; Columbiformes; Columbidae.